GUGAGGAAUAUUGCGCAAUGGAGGCAACUCUGACGCAGCCAUGCCGCGUGCAGGAAGAAGGCGCUACGCGUUGUAAACUGCUUUUAACCGGGAAGAAACCCCAGGACGUGUCCUGGGUUGACGGUACCGGAGGAAUUAGCACCGGCUAACUUCGUGCCAGCAGCCGCGGUAAUACGAAGGGUGCAAGCGUUAUCCGGAUUCAUUGGGUUUAAAGGGUGCGUAGGCGGAGCGUUAAGUCAGUGGUGAAAUCCUGCAGCUUAACUGUAGACUUGCCAUUGAUACUGGCGCUCUUGAGUGCGCUUGAAGUGGGCGGAAUGUGCCGUGUAGCGGUGAAAUGCUUAGAUAUGGCACAGAACACCAAUUGCGAAGGCAGCUCACUAAGGCGAUACUGACGCUGAGGCACGAAAGCGUGGGGAUCGAACAGGAUUAGAAACCCCAGUAGUCC
Molecule: ribosomal RNA, 445 nt
Filed under: uncultured bacterium
Lineage: Bacteria
Description: partial 16S ribosomal RNA
Rfam family: Bacterial small subunit ribosomal RNA
Source: RNAcentral